UGGGGAAUUUUGGACAAUGGGCGAAAGCCUGAUCCAGCAAUGCCGCGUGUGUGAAGAAGGCCUUCGGGUUGUAAAGCACUUUUGUCCGGAAAGAAAUCCUUGGCUCUAAUACAGUCGGGGGAUGACGGUACCGGAAGAAUAAGCACCGGCUAACUACGUGCCAGCAGCCGCGGUAAUACGUAGGGUGCAAGCGUUAAUCGGAAUUACUGGGCGUAAAGCGUGCGCAGGCGGUUUGCUAAGACCGAUGUGAAAUCCCCGGGCUCAACCUGGGAACUGCAUUGGUGACUGGCGGGCUAGAGUAUGGCAGAGGGGGGUAGAAUUCCACGUGUAGCAGUGAAAUGCGUAGAGAUGUGGAGGAAUACCGAUGGCGAAGGCAGCCCCUGGGCCAAUACUGACGCUCAUGCACGAAAGCGUGGGGAGCAAACAGGAUUAGAUACCCUGGUAGUCCACGCCCUAAACGAUGUCAACUAGUUGUUGGGGAUUCAUUUCCUUAGUAACGUAGCUAACGCGUGAAGUUGACCGCCUGGGGAGUACGGUCGCAAGAUU
RNAcentral lists this ribosomal RNA (546 nucleotides) under uncultured bacterium. RNAcentral's name for it is "partial 16S ribosomal RNA". It matches the Rfam family "Bacterial small subunit ribosomal RNA", at positions 355 to 895 of the family's 1533-position model. The record is from RNAcentral.